RNAcentral lists this ribosomal RNA (253 nucleotides) under uncultured bacterium. Its description in RNAcentral is "partial 16S ribosomal RNA". It matches the Rfam family "Bacterial small subunit ribosomal RNA", at positions 524 to 776 of the family's 1533-position model. The record is from RNAcentral.
UACCGAGGGUGCGAGCGUUAAUCGGAAUUACUGGGCGUAAAGCGUACGUAGACGGUUGGAUAAGUCGGAUGUGAAAGCCCCGGGCUCAACCUGGGAAUGGCAUUCGAGACUGUUCAGCUAGGGUGCGGAAGAGGGAAGCGGAACUUCCGGUGUAGCGGUGAAAUGCGUAGAUAUCGGAAAGAACACCAGUGGCGAAAGCGGCUUCCUGGUCCAGCACCGACGUUCAGGUACGAAAGCAUGGGGAGCAAACAGG